GUGGGAAUGAUUCUUCUCGCCUCUUCCACCGAUAUGAUCAUGAUUUUUCUGGGCAUCGAAAUUGUCUCAAUCUGUCUGUACGU
This 83-nucleotide ribosomal RNA is filed under the name uncultured marine Nitrospinaceae bacterium. Lineage: Bacteria; Pseudomonadati; Nitrospinota; Nitrospinia; Nitrospinales; Nitrospinaceae. The record is from RNAcentral.